AAUCUGAGCGUCUUAUUUUAAUAAGUCAAAACUUUCAACAACGGAUCUCUUGGUUCUGGCAUCGAUGAAGAACGCAGCGAAAUGCGAUAAGUAAUGUGAAUUGCAGAAUUCAGUGAAUCAUCGAAUCUUUGAACGCACAUUGCGCCCAUUAGUAUUCUAGUGGGCAUGCCUGUUCGAGCGUCAUUUCAACCCUUAAGCCU
This 200-nucleotide ribosomal RNA is filed under the name Bartalinia laurina. RNAcentral describes it as "5.8S ribosomal RNA". The stretch from base 30 to 183 matches the Rfam family "5.8S ribosomal RNA". From Rfam's summary of the family: 5.8S ribosomal RNA (5.8S rRNA) is a component of the large subunit of the eukaryotic ribosome. Lineage: Eukaryota; Fungi; Ascomycota; Sordariomycetes; Amphisphaeriales; Sporocadaceae. The record is from RNAcentral.